UUAACUUGUUUGUUUUUGUCUCAGAGAUUCCAGUAAUACAGAGGGUUUCGUACCUCCGGCGGGCGCCCCGCCGGCCCCGGGCGACCGGGUCCGGAGGGCAGCGGCGGCCCGGUGAGGGGCCCCCGCGCCGCCGAAGCAACUUGGAGGAGUUCGCGAUGGUUUGAAGCAGCCUUUCGGCCUCUUGUAAUGAUCCCUCCGCUGGUUCACCAACGGAGA
This 216-nucleotide unclassified non-coding RNA is filed under the name uncultured fungus. RNAcentral describes it as "sequence contains ITS1". Lineage: Eukaryota; Fungi. The record is from RNAcentral.